AGCCCUCUUCACUGAUCCACGGGAGGUCAGUAGACAACUUUGGGGAGUUGGUUCUCCUGCCUCCACGUGGAUCCUAGGAAUUAGCUGAGGUCAUUUGGUUUGGUCUCAAGAGCCUUUACUCACUGAGCCACAGGCCUGCAUGCCAAUGAAUUUUUGAUAAUUGUUUCCAGGAUCAUUAGGUGAUAGGUUAAUUACAGGAGCUCGGGGAACUCACCAGCGGCUACACUACUGAAGAAAAUGUUUCUUUCUCCUCCAGCAACCAUUAACGGCCUAGAAAUCCUCCUCAGUCCCUCCCGACUCCACACCCCAGUCUUGUGCAGAUCUUGGACAGAUAACCACAGCUGCUGUCAGUCACAAGAUGGCUAUGGUAGCUGAAAACACCUACCUCUGAUCAUGGAGUACAUGGACCAGGACUUUCUCCUGAAGACUCACAAUCGUUCUGGAUGUAUGAACUGUCUUAGUCUAAUCAUCGUUAAUGGGCCUGAAGACAGGUCCUUCAUCAUCAGGGGACCUGCAUUGCCUCUUCCCAGGCAGUCUGGACCAAAUCAAUGUUUUACUGUGAGAGCGGGCAUCAGUAUCCAUGAAGUCAGAGAGCCCUGUCCACCACAGCAUGUCUUCCACCCGUAUUGCCUGUGCUCAACUGAAAAUAUUUUGGUACAUUUACUGCCCACAAACCCACCUCUUCUUCCUUUGGGCUAGCAUAAUACCGUGUGCACACAGACACUGCCCACAGUGCUCAUAGCAAACUCCUAAGUCCUCUCUGUUCAGCUGUGUGUGCUGCUCUCAAAAACUGGACAGUACUGUGCCUUUGACUCAGAAGUAUGUGGAAAACAAAACAGACACAGGAGGCACCGACUUGAUGUUUAAGAAUGAGUGGAUGGACAAAGACACGAGAUAGGCUGCUCAGAGAAGCUGCCAACGAAUGUGCCAGACUCGGAACUUGAAGCUGGUAAGGGAGGGCAGAGCUCAUCACGGAGCCAGAGGGGCCAAGCAAGAGCUUUGCAGAAAGUGUAGGGGCAGAGGGAAGGCAAAGUGGCAGAAGUCAGGUGAGGAAGAAGAAAGGGAAAGAGGCAAGCUCUGUGGUUUGUAGUCCUCACCCUGGGCUGGGCUGUGUGUCACAAGCAACUCAGAUUUGGCAGAGAGGGCAGAGGAAGACAGAAGCUCACUGGCCACACACUGUUGUUAGCAGUGGCUGAGAGCUAAACAUCUUCCAUUUUUGUGGGUUGUUGCAAAAAGUAGGGAAAGUAAAUACAAAGUUGUAAGCUACUUUCAGACUUAUGAAGAAAGUAGCCUUAUCAAUCCAAAGUUUUCCAUCUUGCCAUUCCUGCCCAAAUAAUUCAAUCUCUCCUCAGUUAUUGACUCCCAGGAGGGCCAUGGGGUUGCCAUUGGCAUCUUGGGGUCGGGUUGUAUGGCAGGAGGGGGAUGGAGUGGUUAUGUUCUUCCUUCCCUGCUCUGGCUUCUUGUGUCACAUAAUGGGACUCUGUCCGCUAUGAGAAGGUCAAGACCCAAGCCAAGAGCACCAUGUUUCAGAACCCAUGGGGCAUCCAGGUGUCAGCAAAGCUGGCAAGAAUGGCCACUCUUCAGUUUCUAGGCCCAAAGUAGCACCUUGCAGGCUCUAAGACUUGUAAAGCAGCUCUCAGCGCUGAGUUUCCCCCUCUCACCAUCAGGACUACACGAGUCUAAGAUGCGAGGCUACAGGUGUGACGUCUGUGUCAUGGUCAAAGCAACCAAUAUUUUCCAACUUCUCCCUUAUGUGUUCCAGUCUCCUUGGCAGCUGCAGCUGGUUAUAUGACUCAGUGAGACUUAAGAGAGAGUCCACUUUGAUCUUCCAAAAGGCUUUGUUUGCUCACUAGGAAGGAUACAUAGACUGUCACCAUUUCUCCUAAGGCCCGGCCAUCUUCCUUUGUUGAAUGAGGACAAACGCCUGGGAAUUCCACAGCUAUCCUGUGAUCAUGACAGGAUCCUGUGAUCAUGAGAGUCCUGACUCUGAAAUCUAUACCAGCUCUGAACUCAUUCCUCCAGUCUUUGUGGGGAGAGAGAGACAGACAGACAGACAGACUGCCUCUCAGCCUGAGGCAUGCCCCUCUUGGUUUCACCUUUAACUUUGGCACAUUAUGUGCUGAUGCUAUGACCCCAUUUCAUAGGGGUCAAGUUGUUCAUUCACAAAUCACCUGAUGGACAAUGGUCUGGAGUCACCAAGGGUGGCCCUGCCUGCUGUUUGUUGCUACUGAAGGAGAAAGGUAGGUCUCCACCGAGGGUAGUAGAGGCAAUAAUGUAGCUGCUUUUGAUGGCAUUGGUGCCGGACCAAGUCUGCUGGCAAUUGCCCUCUGGCCACGUGCUCUGCCUCUGGGCCUGUGACUUGGUAUGUUCCUAUCGAGAAAUGUAGGGGCUUGGAGAAAGCCAGCCCGAUAUCUUGGCCCUCAUAGAUGAGAUGUUGGUAUUUAUUUCCUAAACAUAGGACAUCAUUUCAGAGAAAAGACAAGGGUAUAUAGGCAGAAAAGAAAUAGGGUUUGGAUAAAUUGGUAGCCUAUUGAAAUAAUUGAACCAGUGACCACCAAGAAUGUGAGCAUUCUAGUUUGUUUUGUUUUUAAAGCUAUAUAGUGUAGAUUCCUAGGACUGAAGCCUAAGACUGUCAGAGUAGAGAGGGCUGAUGAGAACCCAGCCAGGGAGAUUCGAAUAGAAAUGUGAAAUUAAAUAUGCCACCAUUUCCUAACCCCUUACCCCAGUAAUCCUUCUUAAUGAAUAUAUUACCUAAAGGUGUGUGGGAGGGACCGGGCAAAGAGUUGGAUUCUGGGAAUUCUCUUUAGAGAGCAAAGGAUGUGGAGAAGCCAUAAUUGUCCAUUGUGAUCAUGUCUUAGUCACGACAGCUGUUCCAUCUGUGUGCUUGUUUUAUACUGGUAACAGCCAGGAAGAUGGCUCAGCAGUGUUCUGAUCCCCGGAGCCCACAAAAAUGCUGGGCAGCCUUGGCAGCCUGCCUAUAAUUCCAGCUCUGGGAAGGUGGAAGGCUGAAGUAGGGUAUCCCUGAAGCAAGCUAGACUAGUGGAGUAGUGUGGAGAGCAGUAAAGGAAGAUUCCUGAGGUAAGCCUCAGGCCUCUACAUGUACACACACACACACACACACACACACACACACACACACACACAUGCCCCCACACAUGCGAACACAUACAACACAUGUAUAGAAAUUCAAAAAGAUUUUCUAGAAUUUUCUUUUUUUCAAAUCUAUUUUUCCCCUACAGGGUCUGGAAUUAAACAGGAAUUCUUUCACAUUAAUGGUUGUUAUGAACCCAGUUUCUAUCUAGAUUACCGGAUAAGGACUGAUAUGAGGUACUAAUGAGAUGGCCCAGAAGGUAAAGACACCUGACACCAAGAAUGACAGUUUGAGUUUCAUUUCCAGGACCCACCUGGUAGACGGAGAGAAACCACUCCCCAAAGUACUCGUCGUCAUCUGUCCUCCACAAGUACCACGUACCUGUGACCGUGUGCUGCCCCUCUCCAUCUCCUGUGCGCGCUCUCUCUCUCUCACAUACACACACCAAAUAAUAAAUACGAUAAACAUUUUUAAAAAGAGUAUCACAAAUGUGAAAGGAUGUUUCAAACAAGAAAAGGUGUCUUUAUUUUUGUUACUAGAAAGGGAUGUAAGGAAACGAGCAUUUCUUGGUCAUGUUUCUUUCUACCUGGGACACUUGGCUGUGGAGAGCUGUCCUGUAUAGUGCAAGAUGCUUGGCGGUGCCUUCAGCCUCUAUCCAUAUGCCGCUAGCAUAUCUCAGUUGUGACAACUGAAAAUGUCUUCAGGAGCUGGAGAUGUAGAUCAGUUGUCACAGUGCUUGCCUGGCACACACAAGACCCUGGGUUCAAUGCCCAGAGCUGCAUAAAUCCAGAAGUGGCAAAUUCCCAUAAUCUCAGCCCCAGAGGCAGAACAAAACUAAGUUCAAGGUCAUUGUCAACUAAAUAAUGACUUUGAAGCCCACCUGGGAUACAUCAGAGCAUGUCUCAAAUGUCCUCUAGGAGAUGAACCCCCCCCCCCCAAUUGAGAGUCUUGGAUCUUAUUAGUCAUCUCUUACAUAGCAUCAGGGCACUGUGGUUGUCAACCUGUCAAGGCUGAGAUCUCUGCACAUUGGCGACUAAAUGGGGUUCAAAGAAACAGUCUUGAUGGUAACUCCCUUAAAUCCCAAGGAAUGGCAAAGGCACAAGAACGGAGUCCACGGCAUCUCCUACCCAAAUCUGCCUUGUGUCUUCUCUAAAGUGCAACAGCAACCGGCCCCUUGCUGCCUUUCCCCAGAGUACAUGCGCUGGCAUCUAUGUGCCCAUCUUCCUCUCCGACACCUUUGGACACAUUUCAUGGCCUCUGUCCUCUAGAGGCUCUUUCAAGACAAACUUGUUCUUUCUUUGUUUCUCCUUAGAAUGCACUCCUGUGGCUUAUCCAUUUCCAGCCUCCUUCCCAUCAGCUUUGUUUUGCACCCAAAAGCCCAAAGAGCUGGUCUGGACCCUCUGAGCUCUUCUACACAGUUGCAUGUGGGUGGAUGGGAGGGACUGAGCAGCCCAAGAAGCACCCAAUUUAGCAGCGGAGGAGGAUGGAAAGGGCUGGCAGUGCUCAUGUGUGAGGAAGGUUGCAGAUUUUUGUCACCCCACUCACAGAUGUGCAGAGACGACGUACUAUCUUUGUUUCUCUAAAAUUAUUUUCUCUGUUCUGAAUCUCCAGCCGCAGAAUAGAGGGGGGCAUUUGAAUGAAAGAACUUAGACACGUCAAGUGAAUGGUCCAUCCUGCCAGCCUCACUAAGGCAACUGGAAAACCUCUAGAAGUGUAAGGGAGGGUGGUAUAUGGUAAAGAGAAAGGAGGUCACAUGUUCUGAUAUUUCAGAACUGUUUUGCCACCAUGCACACCUUUAUAGUUUACCUGCCACACAUCAUGUUUUGAUGGAGACGUUCCAUUGAGGCCUUCGGGCUGAAACCACAGCCCUGUGAGUAGACCACAUCUGUCCAGGCAAAGGCUGGAAGAAGUACAGAUUCCCACACAGGAAACUGGAACACUCAGACUAACUGCUGACAGACAGGAAAAGGGCUGCUUUGCCACCCGCAAGUCUGGAACCUCAAGACGAGCAAUCUCCCAGUGUGGGAAAUUUCCUCACAAACCCAGUGAGGCCAGGCUCUUUGAAGAGAUUGGUGAAACAAAGUCUUUCAUAUGGAAGGAAUAACAGAGAGAUAACACUCUUCCAUUUUGCAGCAGCCUCCUUUGUCUGGGCUCGGAACUCAUGGAUUCAUCUCAUCUAGCUCGUCUUGCUCUUGGGCUCCUGGUUCCAGAUAUUUCCAGUUUCCUUGUGGAAAUAAAACGUGCUUCAGUCUGAAGUGGGGGAGACAGUGGAUCCCAUGGGAGGAAGAAAAGAGUGGCAGCCUGUGGUCCCAGAGUGAUCCUUAAGGUAUGAUCAUAACAGGUACAAUUCAUUUCCUGGGCCUCUGGGCCCUGCCGCUUCCCUCCCACUCCCCUCCCACUCAUACACACACACACAGAUGCCCCCACCCUCCAUUCAGGGAAGACUUGGUCUUACGUAACUGGAGAGAAAGGGUGGGAAUAAAAGGCCAAUUGUUAGUGGAGGAGCCUCUUAGGUAGCAAUUUUCAUACUUCCUGGGAAAUCACCCUUUGCCCUCACCUUGGCCACUUCCAGGGUCAUUGUCCAUCCCCCCAUCAUGCCCACAAUUCUCUUCACAGUAAUUCACCCAGCUCAUGUGGGUGAGCUCUUGAGGUGGGGCUGGCAAGAGAGGCGCUGGAGGGUGCUCAGUUCUGUUCCCAGACUGUGGCAUUUCAUUGAGAAGGAACAAAUGGUGACUGUUCUGUGAAGCCACACAACAAGCUGCUUUCUCCUGCCUGUGACCUUUACUCAGGAAGAGGCCAAGCACACUCGUCAAGCCUCUUCAUUUGCUGCAAAGAGUCUGUGGUAAACACCAAGAAGGCUCUCAUUGUCAUCAAGUUUCUAGAAGCCACCGGAACUUCUCACACAGGGCCCUUGCUUAUUUAGUCAAUGGCUGUGACACAAUUUUACUGUGGAAAUGGGUUACUUGAAUAAUUUAUUUGGUUGGAUUUGGGUUGGCCUGGAUGACGGCCAGUAUCUUGUCAAUGUGGUGAUUCCAUGGCAAACAUGUUGAUUCACCCAUAAUUCACACCUUUUCCUAUAGUGCUUGCUCACAGAGCCCUGGUUUUGUAGCUGUUCCAGAGGGUAACCCUUUAAGGGAUUAUAUACGUCUGCCUUUCCAGGAUUGGUCUGUUGUGGGCUGCUGAGUGCUUUUGAGGAAGGCAGAGCAUACGGGCAUGAUGGCCUUUCUUAUUCCCAUUGGUCUUGGCGAGGUCCUGAUGCCUGGACUGCUCUGGGUCAUCUUCUGCCUGCACAUGCGGACAGUAAGGACAGAGCUGAGAGGUGAAUAAAAGGUGAAAAAAACUGAGCUCUAGAAACACCCACUUGGGGAUUCCUUGUGGGAUUUUCUCUGGGUUGCUGUCCAGUGCAUCCUAGCUGAUACACACACGUUUCCUCAGCGGGUUGGAUAUAAAACAAACUCCUCAGCCAAUGUUGAACACACUGGUGUGGUUAGUGUUUCAGCAAGAUGCUGCACUCCAAAGGACUUCUGAGGACUUUGUUGUUUCAUGGUGAGGAACUGGAGAUGGACGUGAAUGAUAAAUAUCCAGCUAAAGGACCAGAGAAUCCCCCUUUGCUUCCAACUCAACAGCAUCUUACCUCACAACUGCAUCUUAGGUUUAAUUAUUUAUUGUCCUUCCCUGAAGGAUUUAGAACUGAGAUCAUGCUCUCCCUUCCUCUCUUCUCCUUCUCUCCCUCCCUCCUGCCCUCCUUCUGUGGAGGCCCAAAUUACUCAGGGUCAGAGAAUCUGAGCUUGCUUACCCAGCAGGGCUGCAUAAGGGGAUGAUUUGACCACGGGUGUGGUUACCAGAUGUUUGGAAGGGUCUACACUUGGCUGUGCCGUGUGCUUUGAUCCUGCAAGAGGAAGGUCUUUUGCCCCAUCCCUUGGCAUUGUUAUAAAAAGCCCUUUUGAAUAAACAGAAGAGGCUAUUGGGUAUUGAUCCAGGCCCUCCCAAAGCUAUCCUGUGUUUCUGUCUUCUCAUUGUCUAGGUCUCUCUUUCUACCUAAUAUUUCUUAUCCCUCUCUCCUCCUCCUCCUCCUCCUCCUCCUCCUAAGAAUGCUAGAAAAGCUGGGAAAGGUAGGAGCGGGUCUCCCAUUGUCUCCUACGCCUUCCCUCCAUCUCUUCCACCCAUUAAAGUCUGUCGAACCUCCUCCAUGUGACUGUUUCUCAUUGUGUUGGUGAUGGGCUCUCUGGGUCCCUCGGCUGGGUAUCAUGUGCACUGUGCUGACUGUAGCGGCACUAUGGGCUGUGGGCACUUGGGUUCACAGCCUCCUCUACCUCCUCCAUCCAAAGCUGGAUUCCUCUGGAGACAGGGCCAAAAGAAGCCCCAGAAUCUAAAAAUGAUGUAUUCAGUGUCGAGUGUGCUGGCGCCACUGCUUUAAGUGUGGGGUAAAAGGACGUACUGCAUUUGAGAUCUAAGAGCAGCUACAUCAAAACAUGCAGAGUGGAUGUAACCCGCUGGGAAGACAGCUUCUGGGAAGAAGACAAUAUAUGCAGCCUCACCAAUAUUCACUCAACAACGAGGACGCCCAGAGAGGUCAAAUCUUUUGUUUCAUAAGUGUUAAAAUUUAUCAAUCUGUACACAAGAUUUACAUCCUACUGGAACAUUUUUUUAUUUAACUUAAAAAGUAAAAAAUAAAAAACGAAGAAAUUGCCUAAGUAGUUUAUUUCUAUUUUAUUUUAUGCAUAUGUAUGAGUGUUUUGCCUGCAUAUAUGUACCACAUAUGGUCAUAGUACCAGCAGAGGUCAGAAGAAGACAUCAGAUUGCCUGGAACUGGAGUUAGGGUGCUGGGAGCUAAAUUCAGAUCUUCUGCAAAAAUGUUCUUAACCAUUGUGGUGGUUUGAAUGAGAAUGGCCCCCACAGAUUAAUAUGUUUGAAUGGCUUGGUCCUUAGUUGGUGGAAUUGUGGUGGUAUUGUGUUCCCCCAAAUAUUGUGCACCCUAAUAAAUUUAUCUGGGGUCAGCGACAGAACAGCCACUAGAUACAAAGGCUAGAAAAUGAUGGCACUCACACCUUUAAUCCUAGCAUUCCAGAGGUAGAAAUCCCUCUGGAUCUCUGUGAGUUCAAGGCCACAUUGGAAAAAGCCAGGCAUGGUGACACACGCCUUUAAUCCCAGGAAGUGUGCCUUUAAUCCCAGGGAGUGAUGGCAAAAGCAGAAAGAUAUAUAAGGCCUGAGAACCAGAAACUAGAAGCAUUUGUCCUUGUUAAGCAUUUGGCCUGGUUAUACAUUCAGGCUUUUGAGCAGCAGUUCAGCUGAGACCCAUUCGGAUGAGGACUCAGAGGCCUCCAGUCUGAAGAAACAAGACCAGCUGAGGAACUGGCAAGGUGAGCUAGCUGUGGCUUGUUCUGCUUCUCUGAUCAUCCAGCAUUCACCCCAAUAACUGGUCUCAGGUUUGAUUUUAUUAAUAAGAACUUUUAAGAUUCCUGCUACAUGGAAUUGUUUGGGAAGGAUUAGGAGGUGUGGUCUUAUUGGAGGAGGUGUGUCACUAGGGGUGGGCUUUGAGAUUUCAAAAGCCCAUGUCAGCUGAGCAGUGGUGGUGCAUGUUAAUCCCAGCACUCAGGAGGUAGAGGCAGGCAGAUCUCUGAGUUCAAGGCCAGCCUGGUCUACAGAGAGCCUUCCAGGACAGCCAGGGCUACACAGAGAAACUGUGUCUUGAAACCCCUCCCCCUGCAAAAAAAAAAAAAUCCUAUGUCAUUCUUAGUUAGCUCUUUCUGCUUUGUGGUUGUUAUCUCAACAUGUAAGUUCUCAGCUACUGCUCCAGUGCCAUGCUCCCUGAUAUGAUGGUCAUAGACUCACCCUCUAAAACUAAGCAAGGCCCCAAAUAAACUCUCUUCUUUAAGUUGCCUUGCUCAUAGUGUAUCUUCACAGCAAUAGAAAAGUGAUUAAGAACCAUUGAGCCAUCUCUCCAUCCCUACCCCCUUUUGAGUCAGGGUCUCACUAUAUACUCCUGGUUGGUCUGGAACUUGCCAUGUAGAACAGGCUGGCCUUGAAGCCACAGAGAUCCAUCUGCCUCUGCCUCAUGACUAUUAAAGUAUUAAAGGUGUGUGCUCCCAUGUCUGGCUAUAAAUAAAUCUUUUUUUUUUAAAAAUGAACAGGAAUCUUAAAGGUAGUAACAUCAAAACAUCAAUCUUGUCUUUCCUACCCAAGGAGGACCAGAAAUGCAAUUCUAAUCAGCAAAGGAAAAAUUCACGGGUCCACUGAAAACUCCAGUUAUAACAUAAACUCCAGGUAGGGCUUGAUUUGGUGUUCAGACAGUGAUACUGGGCCUCAGUUUCCAGGCACGUUGAGGCUCUGCUGUGUUGUUCAUGUCUCAGGACUUGUAUUAGUCAGGGUCCUCUGAGGAGUGGUUCUGAACAUGUGGACCAUGACCUCUUUAGGGGGUCACACAACCCUUUCACAGCGGUCACACAUCAGAUAUCCACAUGACGAUUUCUAACAGUAGCAAAAUUACAGGUUUGAGGUAGCAACGAAAAUAAUUUGAUGGUUGGGGGUUCACAGCAACGUUGAGGAACUGUAUUAAAGGGUCACAGCAUUAGGAGGGUUGAGAACCACUGCUCUAGAGGAUCAGAAACAAUAGGAUAUAUGUAGCCCAGAAGUCCUAAUCUGGUGCUCAAAACCUGGAAGCUUCUGGAAGAGCCUCUGGUCCUUAGUUAACAAAGAAAGCCUGGAAACACUGGUUCUGAUAUCAGUGAAGAAAAUCAGCAGCAGCAGCAACAGGGGAAACCGACUCAUUAACAAGCGGGAAGGCCAAGGAAGCUAGAACAAUCUUCCUUCUGCCACACCUUUUUUUAUCUGGGGUGCUACCAGAAGGUGCUGCCCACAUUUGGGGUGAGUCUUCUCCAAUCAAUUAAGGCAACCAGGACAAUUCCUCAGGUAGAGCUCCCUACUCAAGUGAUUCUAAUUUGUGGCAAAUUGACAUUAAAACCAGCUGUCACAAACCCCAAUGUGGCCACUCAGUUCUGGGUUUUCCUUUGUGUUGGAAAGAUAGAGGGUGUUUCUCCAGAUCCAUACACCCUCAGCAACAAGUUCACUGGGAAGAGAAAUGUGCCCUUUCUCUUACCAGAGUCCUAGAAAAGUCAUUGUCUCAUUGGUUCCAAGUGGAUCACAUACACAUCGAUGGACCCAAUCCCUGUGACCAUGGAAGUACAAUGCAUAGCCUAGGUCACAUGAUUUCCCUUAGAGUUCUUUCCAGGCAAAAGACAACUUCCUUUCCUUCCCAAGAAGUCUGCUGGAGCCACUGUACCUCCAUUCACCCCUCUAGUAUCAUAGUGUCAUCACCAUCUUUUGCCCAAUGCCCGUGAGUUGCAGUUACCUGGCUGCCCAGUCACCCAGAUGCCUGUGGGAGAUAAGCCACAGGCCGAUUGGUUCCUGUAGUUAGUGUUCUCACCUGGCCUCUGAGGUUGGCAGCAUCUUCGUCCAGGACAGCAUGAGGUGAGUCCUGUCCUGUGAUGGUUUGGUGGUGUUUAGGUGUCCCACAGUUCCCUUCCCUUCCCCCUUGACUAGAACGGCUAUUGAUGGCCACUCAAGAAGGCCAGCAGGUCAUUCCAUUAUACACAGCUGUUGUCCACGGCUAGCUCUGACACUCUUAAGUGGCUCAGAUGCAGAUGGUCCACAGGCACCUUCUCUUGGUGUCUGUACCACUCCAUGUCACAUCAUGGCAUCCAUUCUUACUCAGUAGGGUCUCUGUAUGCACACUCAAGCCAUUUAGAUGUGUGUGUCCAAGGGCGCCUCUGUGUGUGUGUGUGUGUGUGUGUGUGUGUGUGUGUGUGUGUGUGUGUGGUAUUGGGGAAAGUAGUGCCUUCCUUAAGUUCCUGGCUAAAAGCACAUAUAACUACUUCCUGGACCAGGUUAAACUUGAUGAUGUACAAGCCAGUUGCCUUGAGUAUUAAAUCAAUGUUGAUAGCUUAGGUUGGGGGUAUCAAAGGUGGGCCCCACUGAGAAAAUCUGCCAGCAGCAUGCACACACUUUGCACUGAUUCCCUUCAAAGAGCUGAGCAGGGAGCAAGGCAGAGAGAUGCAUGGACCGCGGGUGAGAGGAGCUGCUGCGGAUUCCAGCUGGUGCACCAGUGACCUCUGCUGGUGGGAUUUCCCUCUCCCGGUGCACAAGAGGUAAGUGUCCCCUCCAAGAAGGUGGUUCUGUUGUCUUCUGAGAUCCCGGAAGACAACAGAGAGCAGAGCUCCUGGGCUUCCCUGCUCACGCUUUCAUUGGGGGCCUCAGCUGCCAGAAGUUCAAGUGAGGCUCUUGUCUUUGCCGCUACAGAAUUCCUCUCAAAGCUUGCUCACUUUCAGAUACAAUUACAGUUUAUUUAAAAAUUCUCAGAAAGGGUGCUGGAGAGAUGCUCAGUAGUUAAUGUGUGCUGUUCUUGCACAGAGACUGACUUUGCUUCCCACAUCAGCCUCUGACAACCAAUUGUAACUCCAGCUCCAGAGGGACCCAACGCCUUUGACUGCUGCAGGCAUCUGCACACACACGCACACCCUUACACACAGACACACAAAAUUAAAAAUGAAUCUUAAAACGAAAAUUCUCAAAAAGGGAGCUGGUCAGAUGGAUCAGCCCGAAUAAUGGAAUUCACUUUCUGAGAUCCAAAUGUUCGAAGGAGAGAAACGAUUCCCGAAAGCUGUCCUCUGAUCUCCACAUGUGUGAGUGGCGUAUGUCCCUGUGCGCGCGCGCGCACACACACACACACACACACACACACACACACACACACACUAAACAAAUGUAAAAA
This is a long non-coding RNA of Peromyscus californicus insignis, 11858 nucleotides long. RefSeq lists it as uncharacterized. Lineage: Eukaryota; Metazoa; Chordata; Mammalia; Rodentia; Cricetidae. The record is from RefSeq and is a predicted model, not a curated record. The transcript is spliced from 5 exons.